UUCCGGUUGAUCCUGCCGGAGGCCACUGCUAUGGGGGUCCGACUAAGCCAUGCGAGUCAUGGGGCGCGCUCUGCGCGCACCGGCGGACGGCUCAGUAACACGUCGGUAACCUACCCUCGGGAGGGGGAUAACCCCGGGAAACUGGGGCUAAUCCCCCAUAGGCCUGAGGUACUGGAAGGUCCUCAGGCCGAAAGGGGCUUUCGCCCGCCCGAGGAUGGGCCGGCGGCCGAUUAGGUAGUUGGUGGGGUAACGGCCCACCAAGCCGAAGAUCGGUACGGGCCAUGAGAGUGGGAGCCCGGAGAUGGACACUGAGACACGGGUCCAGGCCCUACGGGGCGCAGCAGGCGCGAAACCUCCGCAAUGCGGGAAACCGCGACGGGGGGACCCCCAGUGCCGUGGCAUCGCCACGGCUUUUCCGGAGUGUAAAGAGCUCCGGGAAUAAGGGCUGGGCAAGGCCGGUGGCAGCCGCCGCGGUAAUACCGGCGGCCCGAGUGGUGGCCGCUAUUAUUGGGCCUAAAGCGUCCGUAGCCGGGCCCGUAAGUCCCUGGCGAAAUCCCACGGCUCAACCGUGGGGCUUGCUGGGGAUACUGCGGGCCUUGGGACCGGGAGAGGCCGGGGGUACUCCUGGGGUAGGGGUGAAAUCCUAUAAUCCCAGGAGGACCGCCAGUGGCGAAGGCGCCCGGCUGGAACGGGUCCGACGGUGAGGGACGAAGGCCAGGGGAGCGAACCGGAUUAGAUACCCGGGUAGUCCUGGCUGUAAAGGAUGCGGGCUAGGUGUCGGGCGAGCUUCGAGCUCGCCCGGUGCCGAAGGGAAGCCGUUAAGCCCGCCGCCUGGGGAGUACGGCCGCAAGGCUGAAACUUAAAGGAAUUGGCGGGGGAGCACUACAAGGGGUGGAGCGUGCGGUUUAAUUGGAAUCAACGCCGGA
This 926-nucleotide ribosomal RNA is filed under the name uncultured archaeon. Its description in RNAcentral is "bacterial SSU rRNA". It matches the Rfam family "Archaeal small subunit ribosomal RNA", at positions 1 to 922 of the family's 1478-position model. The record is from RNAcentral.